This 74-nucleotide transfer RNA is filed under the name Marmota monax (woodchuck). Its description in RNAcentral is "tRNA.Ala". Lineage: Eukaryota; Metazoa; Chordata; Mammalia; Rodentia; Sciuridae. The record is from RNAcentral.
GCUGGGAUUGUGACUCAGUGGUAGCACACUUGCCUUGCAUGCAUGGGGCACUGGGUUCAAUCCUCAGUACCACA